RNAcentral lists this ribosomal RNA (253 nucleotides) under uncultured bacterium. RNAcentral's name for it is "partial 16S ribosomal RNA". It matches the Rfam family "Bacterial small subunit ribosomal RNA", at positions 524 to 776 of the family's 1533-position model. The record is from RNAcentral.
UACGUAGGCAGCAAGCGUUGUUCGGAAUUACUGGGCGUAAAGAGUGUGUAGGCGGUGUUCCAAGUCUGGUGUGAAAUCUCCCGGCUUAACUGGGAGGGUGCAUUAGAAACUGGAAUGCUAGAGGAUGGGAGAGGUAAGCGGAAUUCCGCGUGUAGCAGUGAAAUGCGUAGAUAUGCGGAGGAACACCGAUGGCGAAGGCAAUCCCCUGGGCCUGCACUGACGCUCAUGCACGAAAGCGUGGGGAGCAAACAGG